CGGCUCACGUAGGUUCGUUCGCGUGGUCUUGUUACGCCUCGCUGGAUCGUGUUCAGUCAUGCCGUCCUUGCGCGGCGUGAUUGUCGGUGAGUCAGGUUAAAUUCUUAAAUAGGUCGCGCCUGCGCCUAAUUGAGUCUAUAAAAGCCUGCACAUUCAGUUUUGCUAGCUACAAUGCAGUGCGGCUGGCGUGAGCUGUCUCCACGAUGCGCUUCGAGCGUGUCGAUUUCGCCGUUCUUUAUGUUGGCGUUAACGACCUUGAAAGCAACAUGGAUCCACAAGAAAUGUGCGACAACAUCAAGGUAAGUCUACUGAAAUCACAAAAUUUGAAACAAUAAGCGCUAAUAGUUGUGUUUUCUUUUAAAUUUUAGGCCUUGAUUGUUCAACGAGACGGCCCCCGUCGUGCUGGUUUUCAAGGUGCUCCCUCGCUGCCUAGAAGAUGCUGAUGCGGAAUAGAAAAUGCAUAAACGUCGCUUGCUCAACCGCAAAUUGACGGCUACGCUGAAGCGCAUGCCGUGUCUGCGGAAUUUGAACCCCGAGCUUUCCAGAGUUCCUUGGAAAAUCCUCCCAUGCACCUGCCAUGUACAUUGCCCUCCUCCUCGAUGUGGCGUGCAAGAUGGCAGCAGCAGCUGUGGGAACAGUUGAAGAGGCGAAGAAAGGUCCACUUUAUAAUAGGUUGUAUGUAAAUAAAACUGAUCGACCUCAA
This 703-nucleotide long non-coding RNA is filed under the name Dermacentor andersoni. RNAcentral's name for it is "uncharacterized LOC126527878". Lineage: Eukaryota; Metazoa; Arthropoda; Arachnida; Ixodida; Ixodidae. The record is from RNAcentral.